UUUCCGUAGGUGAACCUGCGGAAGGAUCAUUAUCGUACUACAGAGGUGCAAGGGUUGUCGCUGACCUUUCCAAAAGGUCGUGCACGCCCGAGCGCUCUCAAUCCAUUUCACCCCUUGUGCAUCACCGCGCGGGGUCGCUCCCUCUUGGCUCGCUUCGAGAGGGGGAGGCUCGCGUUUUUCACACAUAAACACCCUUCUGGUUUAGAAUGUCAUUCAUUUGCGAUCACACGCAAUCAAUACAACUUUCAACAACGGAUCUCUUGGCUCUCGCAUCGAUGAAGAACGCAGCGAAAUGCGAUACGUAAUGUGAAUUGCAGAAUUCAGUGAAUCAUCGAAUCUUUGAACGCAUCUUGCGCCCCUUGGUAUUCCGAGGGGCACACCCGUUUGAGUGUCGUGAAAUUCUCAAACCUUCUUGGUUUCUCGAUCAAGAUGGCUUUGGACUUUGGAGGCAUUUUGCUGGCUUUGCGAAAAGCCAGCUCCUCUUAAAUACAUUAGUGGGGUCCCCUUUGCCGAUCCCCAGGCGUGAUAAGAUGUUUCUACGUCUCGGGAUUUGCUCUGUUCCUUGGGAACCCGCUUAUAACCGUCUCAUGGGAGACAUCGUUCGAGCAUGCUCGACCCACGAACCUUGACCUCAAAUCGGGUGAGACUA
Molecule: ribosomal RNA, 649 nt
Filed under: Russula adusta
Lineage: Eukaryota; Fungi; Basidiomycota; Agaricomycetes; Russulales; Russulaceae
Description: eukaryotic LSU rRNA
Rfam family: 5.8S ribosomal RNA (bases 241-394)
Source: RNAcentral